UACGUAGGGGGCGAGCGUUGCCCGAAUUUACUGGGCGUAAAGCGCACGUAGGCGGCUUCGUAAGUCUGGUGUGAAAUCUCACGGCUCAACCGGGAGGCUGCACCAGAUACUGCGAAGCUCGAGGGCGGGAGAGGAGAUUGGAAUUCCCGGUGUGGCGGUGAAAUGCAUUGAUAUAGGGAGGAACACCAGUGGCGAAGGCGGAUCUCUGGCCCGUUGCUGACGCUGAGGUGCGAAAGCUGGGGGAGCGAAAGGG
Molecule: ribosomal RNA, 253 nt
Filed under: uncultured bacterium
Lineage: Bacteria
Description: partial 16S ribosomal RNA
Rfam family: Bacterial small subunit ribosomal RNA
Source: RNAcentral